AGUGAACGCUGGCGGUAGGCCUAACACAUGCAAGUCGAACGGCAGCACAGUAAGAGCUUGCUCUUACGGGUGGCGAGUGGCGGACGGGUGAGGAAUACAUCGGAAUCUACUUUUUCGUGGGGGAUAACGUAGGGAAACUUACGCUAAUACCGCAUACGACCUACGGGUGAAAGCAGGGGAUAUUCGGACCUUGCGCGAUUGAAUGAGCCGAUGUCGGAUUAGCUAGUUGGCGGGGUAAAGGCCCACCAAGGCGACGAUCCGUAGCUGGUCUGAGAGGAUGAGCAGCCACACUGGAACUGAGACACGGUCCAGACUCCUACGGGAGGCAGCAGUGGGGAAUAUUGGACAAUGGGCGCAAGCCUGAUCCAGCCAUACCGCGUGGGUGAAGAAGGCCUUCGGGUUGUAAAGCCCUUUUGUUGGGAAAGAAAAGCAGCAGGUUAAUACCCCGCUGUUCUGACGGUACCCAAAGAAUAAGCACCGGCUAACUUCGUG
RNAcentral lists this ribosomal RNA (492 nucleotides) under uncultured bacterium. RNAcentral describes it as "partial 16S ribosomal RNA". It matches the Rfam family "Bacterial small subunit ribosomal RNA", at positions 29 to 507 of the family's 1533-position model. The record is from RNAcentral.